UACGGAGGAUGCGAGCGUUAUCCGGAUUUAUUGGGUUUAAAGGGUGCGUAGGCGGACGCUUAAGUCAGCGGUAAAAUUGCGGGGCUCAACCUCGUCGAGCCGCUGAAACUGGGUGUCUUGAGUGGGCGAGAAGUACGCGGAAUGCGUGGUGUAGCGGUGAAAUGCAUUGAUAUCACGCAGAACUCCGAUUGCGAAGGCAGCGUACCGGCGCCCAACUGACGCUGAAGCACGAAGGCGUGGGUAUCGAACAGG
This 252-nucleotide ribosomal RNA is filed under the name uncultured bacterium. Its description in RNAcentral is "partial 16S ribosomal RNA". It matches the Rfam family "Bacterial small subunit ribosomal RNA", at positions 524 to 776 of the family's 1533-position model. The record is from RNAcentral.